GACGGGUGAGUAACGCGUGAGAAUCUACCUCCGAGAUGGGGACAACCGUUGGAAACGACGGCUAAUCCCCAAUAAGCCGAAAGGUGAAAGGGUUUCCGCUCGCAGAGGAGCUCGCGUCCGAUUAGUUAGUUGGUGGGGUAAGAGCCUACCAAGGCAGCGAUCGGUAGCUGGUCUGAGAGGAUGAGCAGCCACACUGGGACUGAGACACGGCCCAGACUCCUACGGGAGGCAGCAGUGGGGAAUUUUCCGCAAUGGGCGCAAGCCUGACGGAGCAACGCCGCGUGUGGGAAGAAGGCUCUUGGGCUGUCAACCACUUCUCUCAGGGAAGAAGUCCUGACGGUACCUGAGGAAUCAGCCUCGGCUAACUCCGUGCCAAGCAGCCGCGGUAAUACGGAGGAGGCAAGCGUUAUCCGGAAUUAUUGGGCGUAAAGCGUCCGCAGGGGGCACUUCAAGUCUGCUGUCAAAGGUCGGAGCUUAACUCCGGUUCGGCAGUGGAAACUGGAGCGCUAGAGGGCGACAGGGGUAGAGGGAAUUCCCAGUGUAGCGGUGAAAUUGCGUAGAGAUUGGGAAGAACCACCGGUGGCGAAAGCGCUCUACUGGGUCGCACCCUUGACCCCUCAGGGACGAAAGCUAAGGUAGCGAAAGGGAUUAGAUAACCCCUGUAGUCUUA
Molecule: ribosomal RNA, 670 nt
Filed under: uncultured organism
Description: bacterial SSU rRNA
Rfam family: Bacterial small subunit ribosomal RNA
Source: RNAcentral